UGGCGGGCGGGGCGGAGACCGACCUCGCCGCCCUGCGGGCGGCGCUCGCCGCCGACCUGCCGUCCUACCUGGUGCCCGCCGCC
Molecule: transfer RNA, 83 nt
Filed under: Micromonospora fulviviridis
Lineage: Bacteria; Bacillati; Actinomycetota; Actinomycetes; Micromonosporales; Micromonosporaceae
Description: tRNA-Ala
Source: RNAcentral